UCCGCUACCAAUCACGUAACCAAGAUAAUUGAUACUUGUUACACAGAAUUGACUUUUCGAAAUAUUUAAAGUCAAGUUGGCUUUUCUAAACUGCUCAGCGAUGCGAACCAAUACCGCCAGAUGUGAACUGAAAUCCUCUGACACAAUACACAGGUCAUCUAAAUAACCAAAUACGCAAUAGCGCAGGUCAGAAGGAAUUAUCUCGUCCAUUAACCGACACAUGGUAGACGGCGCGUUACAAAGGCCAAAGGGCAUGACCUUAAACUGAUAUAGCGGUCUUCCGGGGACCGUAAAAGCAGUGAGAGGCUUUGAAUCCUCGGAAAGUUCUAUUUGCCAAUAGGCGUCUUUCAAAUCUAGUUUGGAAAUUAUAUUCGCCUUAGGUAGCCGCGAAAAAAUGCCAUCGAUGCUCGGCAGAGGAUAAGCAUCUUUUUUUGUGGCGUCAUUCAGUCUUCGAGCAUCCAGACAAAGGCGAACCUUGUUGGGCUUAAGGACGAGUCGCAUAGGCGAGCUCCAGGCGCUUACCGACGGCUCAAUAACUCCAAGCUGCAACAUGCGAUCAAUUUCUGCAUAUAACAACUUUUCUACGGCCGGACUUACAGGAUAGAAUCUUUGUUUCACUGGACGUGCGUCUCCUAUAUCUAUAUGGUGUUGGAUCAAUGUUGUGCGGCCUAAUCUAUCAGCAGCGUUGGGGAACAACUGCUUUACUACGUGCAGCUGUUGCGUUUGCUGGCUAUCUAAGGGAAUUUAUAAUGCUUGGCGCAAGCUCAAAUGCUCUCCAAAAAUCAUGACCCAAAAUUAGAUUUUGGUUUAUAGAAGGAAUCACAUACAGUUUCAAGGACUUGGUAGCCGAUUUAUACUGCAUUUUAACUUCAAGCACUCCGAUGACUUUCUGACUAUGGCCAUCUGCUGUUCUGACAUGCGAUGUAAUAGGCUUAAAUUCCGGCAUUGCGGUAAAAUCUUGUUGCGCAAGCGUAGAACCUAUACAGCUAAUAUUCGCGCCUGUAUCCAAUAGACCAAGCUCGGUAAAGGUUAAAAAUGACACUUCGGCAUAGCUGCGCAUAUCGGUGGGAUUGCAAAAAACUGUCGAAACUAAAAGCUUGCUAUGUUGCUUGAUUUUUGAAUAAUAAUUUUUCAAGCGCUGCGUACGCUGAGAAAUA
Long non-coding RNA from Drosophila montana, 1157 nucleotides. RefSeq lists it as uncharacterized. The record is from RefSeq and is a predicted model, not a curated record. The transcript has 2 exons. NCBI's taxonomy places the organism in Eukaryota, Metazoa, Arthropoda, Insecta, Diptera, Drosophilidae.